RNAcentral lists this ribosomal RNA (292 nucleotides) under uncultured bacterium. Its description in RNAcentral is "partial 16S ribosomal RNA". The record is from RNAcentral.
GGACUACACGGGUUUCUAAUCCUGUUUGCUCCCCACGCUUUCGCGUCUCAGCGUCAGUACCGUCCCAGCGAGCUGCCUUCGCCAUUGGUGUUCCUCCUGAUAUCUGCGCAUUUCACCGCUACACCAGGAAUUCCACUCGCCUCUUCCGGACUCAAGCUUGACAGUUUCCACCGGCUUUCCAGGGUUGAGCCCUGGACUUUCACAGCGGACUUACCAAGCCGCCUACACGCUCUUUACGCCCAAUGAUUCCGGACAACGCUUGCCCCCUACGUAUUACCGCGGCUGCUGGCAC